ACUUAUAAAGUAUAAUGUAUAUCUGACUUCCAAUCAGAAGGACUAAAUAUUUUUAGUAUAAGUA
RNAcentral lists this transfer RNA (64 nucleotides) under Dilar sp. YW-2016. RNAcentral's name for it is "tRNA-Gly". Lineage: Eukaryota; Metazoa; Arthropoda; Insecta; Neuroptera; Dilaridae. The record is from RNAcentral.